CAAGCCCUGGAAACGGGGUCUAAUACCGGAUAUGACUGUCCAUCGCAUGGUGGAUGGUGUAAAGCUCCGGCGGUGCAGGAUGAGCCCGCGGCCUAUCAGCUUGUUGGUGAGGUAGUGGCUCACCAAGGCGACGACGGGUAGCCGGCCUGAGAGGGCGACCGGCCACACUGGGACUGAGACACGGCCCAGACUCCUACGGGAGGCAGCAGUGGGGAAUAUUGCACAAUGGGCGAAAGCCUGAUGCAGCGACGCCGCGUGAGGGAUGACGGCCUUCGGGUUGUAAACCUCUUUCAGCAGGGAAGAAGCGAAAGUGACGGUACCUGCAGAAGAAGCGCCGGCUAACUACGUGCCAGCAGCCGCGGUAAUACGUAGGGCGCAAGCGUCGUCCGGAAUUAUUGGGCGUAAAGAGCUCGUAGGCGGCUUGUCACGUCGGUUGUGAAAGCCCGGGGCUUAACCCCGGGUCUGCAGUCGAUACGGGCAGGCUAGAGUUCGGUAGGGGAGAUCGGAAUUCCUGGUGA
This 518-nucleotide ribosomal RNA is filed under the name uncultured Streptomyces sp. RNAcentral describes it as "bacterial SSU rRNA". It matches the Rfam family "Bacterial small subunit ribosomal RNA", at positions 144 to 676 of the family's 1533-position model. Lineage: Bacteria; Bacillati; Actinomycetota; Actinomycetes; Kitasatosporales; Streptomycetaceae. The record is from RNAcentral.